GUGCUUACUGCAGCAGCAUAUAUACUAUAAUUGGAAUGAUACAGAGAACAUUAACAUGGCCUCUGUGCAAAGUUGACACACCAAUUCAUGAAGCAUUUCAUAAUUUU
Molecule: small nuclear RNA, 107 nt
Filed under: Jaculus jaculus (lesser Egyptian jerboa)
Lineage: Eukaryota; Metazoa; Chordata; Mammalia; Rodentia; Dipodidae
Source: RNAcentral